UUUUUUUUUUUUUUUUUUUUUGUGUAAUGAAAUUUGUAAGGACUACAACAACUGAAUAUAUUUGUAACAAACCACAACUAUACCUAGUCCAAGACUGUGUAAAAUGGUUUCUUUUUUUGGUUAUUCAUUUCCCUAGAGAUGCAUGACUGUAAUACUUGGCCAUGCUAAAAGUCAAAUAUUAAUUUUUACUUGCGUGCAAUGUGCAGUUUUUUUUUUUUUUUUUUUUUAAAUUCGGACUGAAUUUGUUGAUUUUACCUAUCCAACCGAGAACCCAAAAGUACAAGGGUCUUAGUUUACCUAAAAACCUAGAAUAAAUCUUAUAUACCGUAUAUACACUAUUACCAUUGAAUCCAUGGUAUAUGUGUAAAAGUUGAAUUUUAAAUUUAAUUUUUUUUUUAUAAUUGUCAUUCAUUCAAAGUUGAUAGUGUGUACACUGUCGGUGUAUAGAAGAUUAAUCCAAAACCAAUCCAACUUAGUAAAAAACCAGGAAAAUUAAUGAGAAGUGUGGUUUUUUUUUUUUUCUAUUUCUUUCUUCCUUUCUUUAUCCUUUUUUUUUUUUCAGCUUUCUGCUUACUUUUUUUUUUUUUGGUUUUCUGUUUUUGACUUUUCCUAAAUCUCCUACUCAUCCAAUGCCAAUUUCAUCUCUCAAACAAAAACGAAUGACACAUCUGAGUUCAACAAAGGGAAAAGCAAAAGAACAUAGCGAAAAAGGAAAGUGAAUUGAGAGAGAGAGGAUUCAAGGGUACAAAAAAAGAAGUAACAAAAGAAAAAGAAUAGAUGAGAAACGUCUUUUCAUUUUGUUGACAGAAUAAAGCAAAAGGAAAGAAAAGGAAAGGAAUGAAAAGAAAAAAACGAAAGAGUAACAAGUUUUGGAAAAAGAAAUGGAGAAACAAGAAAACAGAAGACAAAGUAAGGAUUGGUGCAUCAGAUGAAAGGGAUUAUAAUUGAUGGUGGGAUAACCAUCAUCCAGUGAGGCCCAAUAUGUUUACAUCCUAUUUAGUAUCUGCUGGUUGGUUUGAAAGAGGUGGAGACUCAGGGUUAAUAUCACUUUAUCCCCUUAACGUUCGGUGUCACUAUCAAUUUUCUCCUUAACAUUAUCUUUUAGUCACUUUAUCCCCAAAACUAACGAUCAAACUUAACGGAGCUUGUUAAUUAAAAUUAAAAGACAUGUUUAACUCUUAAAAUUAUUAUCACUUUACCCCUACAAACUGUAACCUCAUUAUCAAUUUACCGCAUAGAAUUAUUUUUAAGGCAAUUUAUCCUACCAUUAAACCAACUUAACAAGUUAAAGAACUUUAGAACAAAGUGCCCUCCUCUUUGUAUAAUAAAAAUAAUAAAAAAAUUUAGAGUGAUUCGUCUUUUUUUUAGUAUCACGAAAAAGGUCAAAGUGUUAAUUUCUUUCUUAUUGGCAAUCUUAUUAAUAUUGCAAAAAAAAAAAUAGAAAGAUGGAGAGGGGGAGGAGGAGAGAUAGAGAAAGAGAAAGAGCUCAAUUCUUUUUUAAAAAAUACAAAUAAAAAAGAAUUAAAUACUUUUAUUAUUUUAAAAGUAUUUCACUUUUUUUGUUUACCACCAAAUUCCAAUUCUAAUUCCGAUAGCCUUAAAGUAAUAUGAUAAUCUAUUCCCUAGUUUUUGUCCUCUGCCUCGUUCUCUUUCGUCUAUGCAUAAAUUGCAUAAUGAAAUUUUCAUAAAUUGACACAAUAACUCAGAAACCAACAAGAAAAUAGGAAGUUUAAUGGCAAAAUUUGACACAAUUGGCUAGUAGUGUGCCUCUUUUGUGAGAUGAGCGAGUGAUUAAAAAUUAAAAAUUAACUGAGUGGCAGAGCAGGUACGUUCCGUAGUUCUUCCUUUCUGUUUCAAUGGACCUAAGAUGCACAAAAUGUCUAUAUGGGCCACCGCAAUAAUUCCAGCAACAGGUCUAUAUCUUUUCGUUGGCACAGACGAAGGACUUAGCCCAUUGGCGCUUAUAAUUAAUGUCAAAUGUUUCGAAGACUAGGUUCGAUAUAUUCUUUACCCCAUGGCCAAACUUCUUUCCACUGAAAUCGGCAAACUAGUACAUGGAUCCAAUAUCGCAACGGAUCUUCUGUUCCACACCUUGUGCCACUCUCUGUCCCACUUUUUAGUAUAUUGAUAUUUCUCCUGUAUAAACAUCACGUUUUAGUUCUUUUUUGUUUUCUUAAGAUUCAAUAACUAUUAAUUGAGUAAAAAAUAAAUACAGGAGGUUCAAAAAAGUAAUAUAUAAUAGAAAAUUAAAAAAUACAGCAGAAAAUUCAUAAAAAAUUUCAAUUUUUAUGUAUUUUGGUUUUUUGAGCUUGUUAAAUUUUGUGUAUUACUCAAUUAAUAGUUAUUGGAUCUUAAGGAAACAAAAAAGAACUAAAACGUGAUGUUUAUACAGGAGAAAUAUCAAUAUACUAAAAAAUGGGACAGAAAAUGGCACAGGGUGUGGGACAGAAGAUACGUUGUGAUCCAAUAUGGAUAACUAGUACAUGAAUACGACAUAUCUUUCUCUAUAUUCCCACAGGCAUGGCACCGAAACGUGGCCCGCUGGUUUUUGAAGGUCAAAGCGUGUACAUGGCUUGGAUGCUUCAAUUUACGGUCUUCAAUGGUAACACAUAUGAUGUCGAGGUCAAAUGCACAAGGGUUAUAGUGAUAGGUGAAGUUUCUCCACAUUUGUUGGCGGCCAUUACAGAAGCAGCUGCCUCCACUGUAAGGCGGCUUGUCAAUAAGGAUGAGGCGGUGCUGAGGGUGCAUGGCAUGAGAAAUGUCCUUUGGAAGUUCAGCACAUCUUUUGUGAAGGAAGAAGCUACACUUUCCACAAGAAUAUGUGGGCUCUGCAAGGAUUGGCGUUUGGCAGCCAUAGCAAACUGAUUUUCGAACAAUCUCAUCUCUUUCCCCUUUCACCAGAAUCAGCAGAUGCUCGUGGCUGAAAUGUUUCAGGUAUUCCAUUUCUAUGAUAUGCUAUGUGGAAAUCAAAGCUAAGAUGGGGAAAAUUACUAUGAGGAUGGCUUGACAAUGAAAGGUUGUGUUUCUACUUUGGAUCAAUUCCAAGAACUUCUUAAUAGUACAUAGAAAGAGGUGAAUCCAAAAUUAAUCUAUUACACGUUUGGAAUCUUUUCCUUUCCGCUGAUGUUAUCGUCUCUGCUAUAACAGUUACCUUUCGCUUUGGCUCAAAGUAGGGAUCCUCAGCAUCCUAAGUUGUCCUGUCCUAACUCCUAACAUAUUUCUUAGCCGUUUGUAGUGUCAACUUUUCUUCCUCUAUUGCGCUUUUCUUCCUAGCAAUAUUAUCCUACCUGCCUACUUUGAGUCGGUAGAUAUAUGUUGCAGGACAAGUUAUAAGAGAAGUGAUCCCUACCAUCCACCUCUUCGAGAAAAAAAAAAAAAAAAACAAAUGCAGAAGACAGAACAACCUUUGUUUAUUCCCAACAUACUUUGCAAUUGGAAGAGUGACACCAAUACAACUUGUUUGAACAAGGAUAUCUGCAUUUGCCUUUUCCCAAAUAGGGUACAUUAAAUUAAACACAUCACUCAGAAAUCUUAGCAGGACCAGCGAUUUUGCCAGAAUUAGCUACUCUUGCUACAUAUUUAAUGCAUAUAUAGAACUGGCAAGUUUCACAUUUAAACACCCUGUUGCCAUACAUCCGUUCAUGGCAAGAGUCGCAGGUGGAACGAUAUUCACCAUCACAAACUAACUUGAGAGGGUGCGGAUGUCUUCCAAAUUCAAGAAUGCGCCCAAAAUUGCAAUUUCGUGUCACACCAAGUCCGGGGAUACAACGAGGGUGAAAAGAUUGAUCACACUCGCGACAAUGAUAGUGCCAACGCCUGGGAUGAAUUUCUUCUUUGCAAAUCUCACAAUAGAAUUCAUCAGGACGGUCACUGAAAGGAGGAAAGCUUAGGGGAAGAGCGUAUUUAUCCCACCUGUGAUUGACACUCUCUGGUAGCAAAGCACAUUCAUAGUCCAAAUAGAAACCACAAGGCUCACAGGCAUAAAGAAAACUACGAACAACAUUUCCACAGGAGUUACAUCUGUUGCCAUUGCCCCUAUACAUUUGAACAAGGGAAUGCUCGUGUGCUUUGUGAUCGAUUGUGGAGGGUAAUAAAGCACACUUCACAUCAUGAUCAAAAGUAUACAACCUGCAUGUGUCACACUUGAAUAAGUAGCCAUUAUAGUCCAGAUUGCACGCGCUACACUUGAUCAUCCCCCAUACAAAUGACACAAAAGCCAGCUUAAGUUUAUGCUUCUCAUGACUUGGGUGUUGUAGUUCCUCUGGUAAUUGAGCACAGGUUAAGUGGACAAAAUAAUUGCAUUGAGUACAAUGGCAGCACAAGGAAACAACAGGUUCAAUGCAUCGGUUGCACGUUAUGCGUUCAAUAUUUCUUGAUUUGAUAAGUUUCUGGAUGUCCACAAUAGCCAAGGUAUGUUGGCAACAACUGACCUGUACUUUCUUGGGAACUCGCAUAAUCUCCAGGCCCUGUUUUUUCUCCAAAAUGUGUCUCAUUUCCUGGACAAAAUAGUUGGUAGGUAAUUGGACCAAAUCCUCCUCAUCUUCCUUACCCUUUGGUCCAUGCAUUCCACGCCUGCUUAUACAGAAGGAGAUGUUUAAAGGUGAUUACAUCAAUAGAUGAAAGAAAGCAAAAUGUGACGGCAAAAUCAUGUUCACUUCUAUCAAAACAAAAUCAAAAUGGGAAUGUACUCUCUUGUCAAUUAUGCAACAAAGAGGGCACAUGCAGGAUUCAGGAAAUACAGGGGUACUCGAUAAUGAAUAUCAAUCAAUUCGGUGUCUCGCCACGAAGUGGGUUCUCUAUAAUGUUAUAAUCAUUGAACUGAACAACCUGGAUUAUUCUAUAACUAAGAAAAAAAAUGAAGAAUACUUGCGGUAGAAUCCUGUCCCUUGUCAUGCACUUGAGAUGGACAAAGUAUCUACAGGGACCGCAAUAGUACACCCAAUUUUGGAAGGGUAUUUUCUUGAAGGAGAUGUCACACGGAAUUUCAUAUCUACAAUAUUCAAUCGGAAAACAAUAUGCAAGAGAAAGAGGAUGCUGAUGAGGCUUUCGAUGGUUGAUAGUCGGCAACAAGGCACAACUCCUAUGGAUCCAGAAGGUACAGGCAGUACAAAUAUAGGAUUGCUGCUCCUCUUUUGUUCCACAAGCAUCGCAAGCGAACGAAGCUAUUCUUUGUACCAGAGUCAGUGGAUGUUCGUGGCUAGGAUGUUCCAAUUUGCCUUGAGGAAAAGCACACAAGAUAUCAAGGUCGAAGUUACAACGAUAACAAUGAUAGACGAAGCUAUUCCAUGGUUGUCUACAGGCAUCGCACAAGCAUCUUCUGUCUUUGGGAUAAGGUGAAUUUGGCAGGAGUUUGAGUGGAUGGUUAGGGUGCAGGGGAUGAUGCAACAUCUCCCUUGGCAGCUCUGCACAUGUUUUGUGGAGGAAGAUGUUGCAUUCGCUGCAUUUGUAUGUGGGCUCUUCAAGAAUUGGUUUUUGACAGCCGUAGCAGACACUAUUAAUAGGUUUCUGAUCAUCGUGCUGGAGCUGAGUAGCGAGGAUGCUUUUCAUGGCUAAAGUGUUUCAGCUCCCCCUCCAUAUCUUUUGCCGUUUUAAUGUCGGCAAAACGUAAAAAAUGCUUAUCCUGGCUGGCUGGAGUGCUGCUGAUCUUGAAAGAAAGCGAUUGGACCAUAUGAGAAAUGUUAUGCCGUAUGUGCAUUAUUUGGCAGCUGAGCAAAGCAAAGGACAGUGGUGGAGGGAGCCAGUCUUGUCUUGUGAACAACUCCUCAGAUUUUGGAAUCUUUGAUCUUUUAUGCACUUUUUUUUUUUUAUUGUUUUGAGAUCAUUUGCUACAGGGAUUAACUAACUACAUGAUCAAUUGCUGCCUCUGCAGGUCCUCAAUCUUGGGAGUGCGAUGAAAUUGGACCUCUCCGGCAAACAUCAGAGAUAAUAUUAUACAUCUCCUUGAUUUAGCUGAAAUGAGCAGAUAAAAUGACAUGACAAAGCCAAACAAAAUACAGGCAAAGGUCGCGGAAUAUGCAAGAGAAAAAGGAUGCUGGUCAGGUAAGCACAACCCUUAUGUAGUGACAGGUAGCAUAAAUAUUGGAUUGCUCUUAUUUUGUUCCACAUGUAUCGCAAGUGAAUGAAGCUUGUCUUAUUAGCAGAGUUAAUGGAUGUUCAUGACUUAAAUAAAUGUUCCCAUUUGCCUUGAACAAAAAAGGCAUACAAGAUAUCUAUCAAGGUUGAAGUCACAAGAAUAACAACAGUAGAAGCAGCUCUUACAUUUUCCAGAACAGGCAUGGCAUGGCAUGGCAUGGCACAAGUAGUUUUGCCGACUAUCUGACGACCAUUUCAGAGAAACUAUAGGCAGCGCAUUACCUUACACCCAAGUAAAAGGAAAGUGGUUUAGGGUCUGUUUGGUUGGAAAUAAAAUGUUUUCUUUGGAAAAAUAUUUUCCGUGGAAGUAAUUUUUCAUGAAAAUCAUUUCCCUUUCAUCAUUUUCAGGUGUUUGGUUAACUUAUUGAAAAUAUUUUCUUACUUCAUUUUUCUGGUGUUUGUUUCUCUUUUGAAACAUUUUUACUUUUAUCUCUAUCUUUACUUUCUACACAUUAUAACUACAUACUUCUUCCCAUGCAAAAUAAGAAAAUUUAUCUCAUUGUUUAACUUUAAAAAAUCUUGGAGAAAUGUAUAUAUGAAUAAAAAAUAUUUCCUUAAGCAAUAAACAAAUUGCUGGCCAUUUAGUGUCAAAUAUCAAUCACAUGCAAUGUUUAUUGUGACAUAUAUCUUGCACUCUCACUGCUGAAAGUUUCUCUAGAAAAGAAUGUCCCUAUUAUACGUAAUUAAUUAUUAGCAUAGGAUGAGUAGGAUGAGAUUUUUUUUUUAUUUUGAAUAUACUAGAGGGAGGGUUGGAUUGGGUUGGGUUGGGUGGUACGGGGGAGGGAGUGUAAGGAAGAGGUCUUGGGUUCGAGUCCUGCUGUUUACACUAAAAAAAAAAAAAGGAACAUACUAUAAAAUGUUUUCAGUAAGUUUGGAACAUACUACAGGCGGGAUGCAUGCAUUUCGGAAAACAACUUCAGUAAGUUUGGAAGGGAAGUUAUUUUCCAUAAGAUGAGUGAAAAUAUUUUACAUAGGAAAAUGUUUUCAGUAACUUUUGUGCAAUCAAAUACGGGAAAUUAGGAAAAUAUUUUCCUGCAAAACAUUUUCACCUGAAACAAACGGACCCUUAGAAUCCUUAGUUUUUUUUUUAUAGGAUUCUUGAUUCGUGAGGCAAUGAGAUUUGAUCAUCAACCCGAUGGCAAGUAUAGAUUCUACUUCUUCAAUUUUCAUAGCUACUUCAGAUCCUUAACUUUGAGGAUUCUCCCACCCUAAUUCCAAUGAGAGAGUUGCUGCCAAUAUUAUUACACAUAAGAUGCUUUCAGCCGGGAGAGUGCAAAAUCAUUCUUCAAAAAUUAAUCCACUGGAAGAAUGACAUCUUGCAUCAACUCCAAAACUUGAUCAGAUAGCACAUAUUAACUUUCACAAGACCCGGAUUGGUCCUAAAAGAGCACAUGCCCACCAAUUUAACUAUUUUCUAAUCUGACUUUUUUUUUAUGAUUUAAUAAUUAGUUUUCUGAAAAAAAAAAGUUAUUUAAAACAAUAUAAAAAUUUUCACCAACAAUCAUGUUAUAAACCACCCAAUUUUUUGCAAAAAGUUUUAAAAAAUAUUUGGAAAAAAAAAAGGAGACAAACGUGAAAACAUUGGUUAAGUUGUACUACAUGGGUUAUACAUACGGUAAGGAGCAUGUGUUGAUCUUUCGUGUAUGUCCAUCUCCUGGGAUGCAAGAGCCAUGUCCAUGCAUUCACCAGGUACCAUGCCUAUGCAUAUAUCUCGACUAUAUACAUCCACCAGACGCAGAUCGAGAGCAACUAUAAGGAGAAGAAAGACUUGUGAAUCCCCAUGGCAGACAAGCUGUCUUUACCAAUAGCAGAGGUGGGGAUUUCCUUCACAAGAAACUAAAUAAUCGAAAUGACCAUCUAAAACAUGGGCUUCUGAUAUCUCUUCCAGGUAAAAGUUCUGAAGUUGUAGAGGCUGAAUUGUAAGGCUUGGUUAAAAAUCAUGGCAUGAAAAAGCAGAGGUAUAAGAUUCUUAUUGAAUCAUCAAAUGAACAUCUAUAAGCACGCAGGUUUUCUAUAAUAUCUCUUCCAGGUAAGCUCUAAAGUUUCUUAUCAUGGAGCAUCUCCACCUCGCAGGCUAUCAAAUACUAUGCAUUUCUCCACGAUUAGCUGAAAUAUGAGAAAAAAAUAUGGCAGCACAAACAGAAAUAAAAUGCAGGCGUAGAUAGAGGAAAUUGCAGAACAUCACAGCCAUUCAUCAGACAUGUACAUGAUGUGUAAACAACAUACAUCCAGCUUAUGUUUUUCAAUGUUGGACCACACUCUACCUAAUAUACAUGGAUAAAAGGACAAAAAUGCUUAGCCUCAUCAGAAGCCUACGAAAAAGAAAACUAAUAAAAACGAGUUACUAGGAUGUC
Molecule: long non-coding RNA, 8486 nt
Filed under: Coffea arabica (coffee)
Lineage: Eukaryota; Viridiplantae; Streptophyta; Magnoliopsida; Gentianales; Rubiaceae
Description: long non-coding RNA (CARA_LNC004093)
Source: RNAcentral